UAAAAGGUAAGCUAAAACUAAGCUAAUAGGUUCAUACCCUGUAGAUGAAAGCUUCACUCUCUCCCUUUUUA
Molecule: transfer RNA, 71 nt
Filed under: Potamiscus yiwuensis
Lineage: Eukaryota; Metazoa; Arthropoda; Malacostraca; Decapoda; Potamidae
Description: tRNA-Met
Source: RNAcentral